AUUGAACGCUGGCGGCAUGCUUUACACAUGCAAGUCGAACGGUAACAGGCCGCAAGGUGCUGACGAGUGGCGAACGGGGGAGUAAUGCAUCGGAACGUGCCCAGUCGUGGGGGAUAACUACUCGAAAGGGUAGCUAAUACCGCAUACGAUCUAUGACUGAAAGCGGGGGACCGUAAGGCAUCGCGCGAUUUGAGCGGCCGAUGUCAGAUUAGGUAGUUGGUGGGGUAAAGGCUCACCAAGCCAACGAUCUGUAGCUGGUCUGAGAGGACGACCAGCCACACUGGAACUGAGACACGGCCCAGACUCCUACGGGAGGCAGCAGUGGGGAAUUUUGGACAAUGGGCGCAAGCCUGAUCCAGCAAUGCCGCGUGCAGGAAGAAGGCCUUCGGGUUGUAAACUGCUUUUGUACGGAAAGAAAAGGCUCUGGUUAAUACCCGGGGCUAAUGACGGUACCGUAAGAAUAAGCACCGGCUAACUACGUG
Molecule: ribosomal RNA, 482 nt
Filed under: uncultured bacterium
Lineage: Bacteria
Description: partial 16S ribosomal RNA
Rfam family: Bacterial small subunit ribosomal RNA
Source: RNAcentral